This 1054-nucleotide long non-coding RNA is filed under the name Phocoena sinus (vaquita). RNAcentral's name for it is "lncRNA (ENSPSNG00000001784.1)". Lineage: Eukaryota; Metazoa; Chordata; Mammalia; Artiodactyla; Phocoenidae. The record is from RNAcentral.
ACUCGUUUCUCAGUGUAUGUGGGUCUGAGGUAAACAUGGAGAACUUCUUAAGGGUAAACAGGGAAUAGCCUGCCCUCCUGGUCAAAUGGUAACCCUGCUGCUGUUACAUAUGGGCCCAGGACGGCUUCCCAUCACUCAUCACUCAAGGCCUGCCAGACAGUUCCCUUGACCCAGAUGCCCCAGGUAGGGGAUGGAAGAGAACCUGAACAGGGAGCUGACACCCUGUCAGCACAACAGGGGCAGAGUUAGAAAACACAACCCCAAGGGAAGCCAGAGGAAUACUAAUCUGGACCCUCCAGAAACAUUGUCUUCAAACUGGGUAUGCAUACCCCUGGGGGUUCACAAAAACUUUCCAAGAGGUAUGUGAACAUAUUUAGCUUAAAGGGAAUCAAUGUAAAGAUCCUCAGCCUCCAGGUGUACUCUUUACAAAAAUUAAUCUGACUAAGAGGAGUGAUGACAGCAAGAUGGUAAAAUAAGAAGCUCAGACUCCCUUCCCCAACAGAGACAUUGACGUAACAAUAAUAUACAGUCCAAAAAGCCUUUAUGAGAAUUCCAGAAACCAGUGAAGAAACUCACAGUACCCAGGCAAACUAAAAGCCAAGAACAGCUACACUGAAACAGAUAAGAGGAACCAUUUCAUUUCACUUACAAUAGCCCUUCUCCCAAGCUGGCACGCUUGGAGCACUCAGGAGUAAAACAGAAAUCAUAGAGUGAGUGCUCUCAGACCACAGUGGAAUUAAACUAGAAAUCAACAACAGAAAAAUGGCUAGAUAAUCCCCAAAUACAUGGAAUUUAAAGUAUUAAAUAAACUUUAAAUAACACAAAGCUUCUAAACAACACACAGUCCAAAGAAGAAAUAUCAAGAGAAAUUUUAAAAUGUUUUGAACUAAAUGAGAAACACAACUUAUCAAAAUUUGUGGGAUGUAGCAAAAGAAGUGCUUUGAUGGCACUGAAUAACAUAUAUUAGAAAAGAGGGAAACUCUAAACUCAAUAAUCUAAGCUCUACCUUUGGAAGUUUAGAAAAAGAAGAGAAAACUAAAUCAAAAGUAAGCAG